UGCCAGCAGCCGCGGUAAAACGUAGGACGCGAACGUUAUCCGGAGUUACUGGGCGUAAAGCGCGUGCAGGCGGUUUAGUAAGUUACCUAUGAAAGCUCUCGGCUAAACUGAGAGAGGAUAGGUGAAACUGCUAGACUAGAGUGAGGUAGAGGUGAGUAGAAUUCCAGGUGUAGUGGUGAAAUGCGUAGAUAUCUGGAGGAAUACCAGUGGCGAAGGCGGCUCACUGGCCCUCAACUGACGCUGAGACGCGAAAGCGUGGGUAGCGAACGGGAUUAGAUA
Molecule: ribosomal RNA, 279 nt
Filed under: uncultured bacterium
Lineage: Bacteria
Description: partial 16S ribosomal RNA
Rfam family: Bacterial small subunit ribosomal RNA
Source: RNAcentral